This 84-nucleotide small nucleolar RNA is filed under the name Brettanomyces bruxellensis AWRI1499. The record is from RNAcentral. Lineage: Eukaryota; Fungi; Ascomycota; Pichiomycetes; Pichiales; Pichiaceae.
CUUUGAUGAUGAAAAACUACUUUUCCAGUUCUGCUUCUGAWUAACACAGGAAGAUAACAAAAGCUUACCAAAAUUUUCUGACAA